RNAcentral lists this ribosomal RNA (497 nucleotides) under uncultured bacterium. Its description in RNAcentral is "partial 16S ribosomal RNA". It matches the Rfam family "Bacterial small subunit ribosomal RNA", at positions 28 to 507 of the family's 1533-position model. The record is from RNAcentral.
GAUGAACGCUGGCGGCGUGCCUAAUACAUGCAAGUCGAGCGAACGGACGAGAAGCUUGCUUCUCUGAGGUUAGCGGCGGACGGGUGAGUAACACGUGGAUAACCUACCUAUAAGACUGGGAUAACUUCGGGAAACCGGAGCUAAUACCGGAUAAUAUUUUGAACCGCAUGGUUCAAGAGUGAAAUACGCUCUUUCUGUCACUUAUAGAUGGAUCCGCGCUGCAUUAGCUGGUUGGUAAGGUAACGGCUUACCAAGGCAACGAUGCAUAGCCGACCUGAGAGCGAGAUCGCACACCCGGGAAGUGAGAAUCGGUCCCGACUCCUACGCGAAGCAGCAGUAGGGAAUCUUACGCAAUGGGCGAGAGGCUGACGGAGCAACGCCGCGUGAGUGGUGAACGUCUUCGGAUGGUAAAACUCUGUUAUUAGGGAAGAACAUAUGUGUAAGUAACUGUGAAGAUAUUGACGGUACCUAAUCAGAAAGCCACGGCUAACUACGUG